ACCAAACAGUUCAGCGCCUAUUUGGAAACCCUAAUACACGCUGCGGCCGUGAUAUUCCAUCAACUCAGCUCUUUCAUCUACCGCAGGGUCAGCAUCCAAUGAUUCACAUUGAAAGGGUCCAUCUGUAAAUAUUGAAGAACCCUAGGCUAUAGAUUGAUUGGGGCUGGGUUGAUGAACGGCGCCCUUUAGGGUUCACAAUCGUCUAUAAUCUCCCUCAAAAUGAAGGAUUUAGAGGUUGCCUCGUGUCCUUUUGAUGGUCCGUAGAUGGUCUCCUACCAUGCGUUUUACGGCUGAAACUCUUCUCUAGAGUCCUUCGAGAUGAUGGAUUUUGUAGGUUUCUUCGGGUCGUUCUGAUGGCCUAUGAAGAUGUUCUGCCGUUGGAAAGCAGAGAAAUUUCUUCUUUUAUUUGCCUCAGUGUUGGUUUAUCUUUUACUUGGCAUCCGCAGACUGAUGAAAUUCCUCGCGAGAAUCAAAUUAGAAGCAACAAUAUCAAUCUUCUGUGCGUGCGCAUUCAGUGAUGGGAUGAUCCCAGCAGUCGUUCCUUGUUUCAAGAACUUACUUGGCUAUUAAGGCAAUGUUAAGUCAUUAAUCAUUUGUUGAGCAACAUUCAUUGAAAUUUUUAUUUAAGGUGUUUCACUCUAUGGUUGUGACGGGGGAUGCCAUAAUGGCUUCCCUUAACAUUUUUUUGGAGCAAACCAGUUAUGUUUGUAUAUUCCAUGGUAAACGUCACAAAUUAAAGCCCAUUGAUGUUGAUGGUCCUUCCUCUUGGGAGCUCCUCCAUUGAUGGGUAGUCUCAUAUUCCAUCGCCUUGUGGAGCAGCGUUGCUGCCUUUACCUCUUGGGAUGAGACAGACAUUUCAUUUAUUUGCUCAACCAGUGUUUGAAGAUAUGCCUAUCAAGCUGUAUGGAUUUAUUUUGACUAUUUAAAUUCAUUCAGCAAGUUUUCCUCCGCCAAGUGAUCCACUUAAAUGUUUAUUUGCAUUUUCAUUCACUUAUGUUUCUUCAAUUCCUUCAUUUAAUUGUGAAGGGCGAUGUUACCAACAUCCUCUACAAAUUUUUGGAGUGAACCCAUAAUGUUUGUAAAUUCCAAAGUGAACGUCAUAAAUUAAAGCCCAUUGAUGUUGAUGGUUCUUCCUCGUUGGAGUUCCUCCAUUGAUAGGUGGUCUCAUAUUACAUUGCAUUGUGGAGCGGCAUUGCUGCCUUUACCUCCUGGGACUGGCCAUGAGACAAACAUUUUAUUCUUGUGCCAUUCUAUCCAUAUGUACUGCAUGGGCACACUGAACUGCAGAUCUGUGGUAGUAGAAGUGUCUAUCUUGCUAUCAUGGGUUUCUUUCACAAUUUAAUAUCAUUGUGCUGGUUUUCUUCCAUAGCUCCCCUCUCCUUUUGCAUUACCUCUGUCCAUUUUUUGAUUGUCUCAAAUUCCAUUGCCUUUUGAGAAACAUAACUUGCCCAACCGCCCUCCCUCUUUGGGGCUGGUCAUGACACGAGCAUUUUUUAUGUGUCCAAUAUGUUUUUUGUUCUCAUUUUUUUUUUUGUCUCAGCCUUUCGUUCAUUCAUUCAUUGUGUGGCAGGAGAUGAAUUUUUUUUUUUGAAUUUAUUUUACACCAAGAAUUUUUGAGAAGUUCUCAUAGUUUAAUUAUUCUUUGUCCUUUACGCCCUCAUGUUGAUGUGAUUCUAGAGUUCAGCAUGUUUCUCUGCUUAGUGGAGGAGACCAAUGUUUGUUUUUCCUUGAGGCUGUUGAUUUAACCCAUAUUUUUGUUGCAUUAGUUGCUUGGAGACUGGAAAACUAUGCUACAUGCGAUUUUUUGCCUAUGAUGAUAUCAGUCACCAAAUUACACCAUCUUUCGGGACUGAAUGGCUUUAAAAGCCUUGUUGUUAUUCUGAAAUUCUGAGGCUGCACUGUGCUUAGUCUUUUUUUAUCGAACAUUUAUUUUUUUCAAUUUAUAGGGUAGCCUUUUUGAAAUUGUGUCUUGGAUAUACAAGUUUCCAUUUCUUUGGCUUGCCUUCUGCUGAACUCAAUUCCUGCGGGUUCGACUGUUGCAGAAUGGAAUGUGGGAAUAACAGAGGAAUAGAGGUCGGGUUAACAUGGAUGCACAGUGAAGAAAUGAUUUUGAGGAACUUUGUCAGUUGGGUCUUUUUCUCAACGCAUGUAAUCUCAAUCUGUUCUAGUUGGGUCUUUUUCUCAAUGCAAUAAUUUACUGAAUUUAUAGAAUUGUUUUGAUUAUUGGGAUUUCUAGUAUGUUUUCUCUGACCAUAAUAUAUUUGUUAACAAAAAAAAUUAAUGAUAUGCAGUAAUAUCAAUCUUGUGUGUGUGCGCAUUCAGUGAUGGGAUGAUUACAGCUGCCAUCCCUUGUUUCAAGAAAUUACUUGGCUAUUAAGGCAAUAUUAAGUCAUUAGUUAGGCUGUUUUGGAAGAUUUGGGAAGUAAUGAGUAUGGGUCAUCUGUUGAAUUAAUGGAAAUAUACAAUCAUUCAUUGGUGCUCCGUGCCUGAUAAAGUUGUAAUAAAGAGUGGGUGCUACGUGCAAUAGAGUGCUCUUCAUGAAAAGUGAAGGCAGGUAAGUUUCCUUGGUGCAUUUUGUUCUUGCUUGAUAAGCAUGACAAGUAAACUAAGAUACCAAUGGCAUUUCAAAUGGGUCCAAUUAUUCAAAUUCACAUUGCAUACUAGUAUUUGGGAUCAACAUGAAAUGCACAUUGGAUUUUAAUUUUUAUAAUUUUUGCAGGUUUGCUUUUGAUCAGGCUGUUUCAUUAGCAUUUGACCUUCUGAGAGAGCUUGUUAAGGUUCUACUGGUGCAGAAUGGAAUGUGGGAUUAACAGAGGAAUGGAGGUCGGGUUAACAUGGAUGUGCAGUGAAGAAAUGGUAUUGAAGAACUUUGUCAGUUGGGUCUUUUUGUCAACGCAUGUAAUCUCAGUCUGUUCUAGUUGUGUCUUUUUCUCAAUCCAAUAUUUUACUGUAUUUAUAGAAUUGUUUGAUUAUUGGGAUUUUUAAUAUGUUUUCUAUGACCAUAAUACAUUUUUGUUAACAAAAAAAUUAAUGAUAUGCAGCAAUAUCAA
Long non-coding RNA from Malania oleifera, 3050 nucleotides. RefSeq lists it as uncharacterized. The transcript has 3 exons. The record is from RefSeq and is a predicted model, not a curated record. Lineage: Eukaryota; Viridiplantae; Streptophyta; Magnoliopsida; Santalales; Ximeniaceae.